This 269-nucleotide signal recognition particle RNA is filed under the name Carlito syrichta (Philippine tarsier). RNAcentral's name for it is "Metazoan signal recognition particle RNA (ENSTSYG00000028670.1)". It matches the Rfam family "Metazoan signal recognition particle RNA". Rfam says of the family: The signal recognition particle (SRP) is a universally conserved ribonucleoprotein. It is involved in the co-translational targeting of proteins to membranes. The eukaryotic SRP consists of a 300-nucleotide 7S RNA and six proteins: SRPs 72, 68, 54, 19, 14, and 9. The record is from Rfam by way of RNAcentral. Lineage: Eukaryota; Metazoa; Chordata; Mammalia; Primates; Tarsiidae.
ACUGGAAGCAGUGGCAUGUGCCUGUAGAGGCUGGAGGAUCACUUGAGCCCAGGAGUUCUGGGCUGCCUUGGGCUAAGUGGUUCGGGUGUCCACACUAAGUAGGGCAUCCAUAUGGUGGCCUCCCAGGAGCGGGGGACCACUGGGUUACCUAAGGAGGGGGGAACGGGCCCAGGUUGGAAACCGAGCAGGUCAAAAUUCCCAUGCUGAUCAGUAGUGGGACUAUGGCUGUGAAAAAUCACUGUGCUCCAACCUGGGCAACAUAGUGACAU